AGUAAAGUGGUAGCUGAGUUGUCUUGGCUCUCUCGUUUGCUAACUGACAUUGGGGUUUCUGUUGCUCUUCCUUUCUCUGUUUUUUGUGACAGCCAGGCUGCCAUUCAUAUUGCAAAGAAUCCUGUUUUUCAUGAACGGACUAAGCAUAUUGAGGUGGAUUGUCACUUUAUUCGGGAUCAGCUGACUGAUGGACUCAUUUCUAUUUCACAUGUCUCUACUUCAGGCCAGCUUGCUGACCUCCUCACCAAGCCUCUGUCUAGGACUAUCCUCCAUCCUCUGUUUCUUGCUGGACUACGAAUAUUGAGGUGGAUUGUCACUUUAUUUGGUCAGCUGACUGGUGGACUCAUUUCUAUUUCACUUGUCCCUACUUCUGGACAGACCUCCUCACCAAGCCUCUGCCUGGGACUAUCCUCCAUCCUCUGCUGCUCAAGUUGAAGUUGGUCUCCCCCUCCAACUUGAGGGGGGGUGUUGAGCUACAAGAUUAUCUAGCCUCUAAGCCUA
RNAcentral lists this long non-coding RNA (501 nucleotides) under Nicotiana benthamiana. Its description in RNAcentral is "long non-coding RNA (NBEN_LNC032407)". Lineage: Eukaryota; Viridiplantae; Streptophyta; Magnoliopsida; Solanales; Solanaceae. The record is from RNAcentral.